CGUUUUUGUGCUUAUUGUUAUCGGUGUGAUUAAACCUCUGCCACUGUCUGAUUUUGGAGACUGGUGAACAUCAGCCGUUCUUAGAGACAGCAGAGCCAGAAUUACCUAUGGCUGCGGAGGGGAUCUGGGACAGUGCGGCUAAGGAGAGCACAGUGUGUUUCUAAGUGGGCUACAGAACAUCAUUAUCAUAUUUCUUCUGGAACCUGCUUUCUGGGCUGAAACACAGAAUGGCUUCCACUGAAGGUGUGUAUAGAAUCAGAGGGCUAUUCCACACCUGUAAACUGGACAACCAUCAUGGUGCCUAUGGGAUCUGUUCAGGCCACAUCUAUUAGGAACCUGGCCUGUGCAGCCCAGAAGACAGCUAGAGAUGGAUGGUGCUGGCGUGCGGCCACUUCGGAAGACAGAGCUGGAUCAGCCUGCCGGGGACAGAGGCAGACAAAUGGAACCUGCAGGACAAGCAUGCCAUUACCUUGUUUGCCAAACUCAUUACAGAGAAGUUGCAAAGUUCCAGUAUGCUGCCCCUGGCCUCCGAGACAAAGCUGUCAGCUGGUUCGUGAAUAAUUCCAGGCCACAUUCAGGCAGCCCGUUGUCGCUUGGCGCCCAGCAUGCUGCAGGUGAAGAUGGAAGCUCCAGCCCCAAGGAGGAAUAAUGCUGACCCCCAUCAGCACCAGCUCCUCACACUCAGCAGAGAUCAGGUGCUCUGGGGUAAGCUCCUGAGCAAUGUUUAAUUUCCCUCACUUCAUUCCACGUCUGUCUAACAGACAGUAUGUAACCAUAAUUUGGCCCAGCAGGUUACGUGUGUGCAUGGUGGCAACAAGAAAGCUCUUCUGAUGUUUUGCUUCAUGGGCCAAAUUUCACCCUGUUCUUUUGGGUCCUUCACAGACACUGUGUGGGAUUCAGAU
Molecule: long non-coding RNA, 902 nt
Filed under: Gallus gallus (chicken)
Lineage: Eukaryota; Metazoa; Chordata; Aves; Galliformes; Phasianidae
Description: long non-coding RNA NONGGAT004698
Source: RNAcentral